AGCAGAGGAGGGAGGACGAGGAGCAUGACGGCGGCGGCGGCGGGGAGCAGCAGUAGCAGGCCAAGGCGCCAAGCAGCAGCGAGCCCCGACAUCUCCGCCACCGCGCAGCACAACGCCGAGCUCGCUGAGCUCCAUCGCGUCCUCUCCUCCCGCCGGAUUCGCCGCUCACGGCCACCAUCGCUCACCCGUGACCUUGCCCGUGGUUAGGGUUUCGGGUGUUCGUCACCGGUGGCCAUGGAGCUGCGCCUCCUCUCUACAUCUGUAGCAGAGGCGAGGAGCGGGGACGAGCCUCCUCCCAUUUACUCUCUCUGUGUGUGUUCAUCCGCUCGAGAACUGGAUCCCGAGGGACAGAGGUGCAACCCUGCAGAGCCGCUUGAUCCCAAAAUUAAAGAUGUGAUUGGCCUGGCAGCAGCUCGGGCCUGCUGAAGAAUGAAGACACAACAACAGGGGGAGGGAGAUUGGAAUGCUUCAGGAUCCUGAAAUAUGAUGUUAAACCUGAGCAUUUAUCCAAACAAGGUUAAGGUCCUGAAAAGUUACAUGGAAGUGGUUAUUUCCAGUCCUUUGUGGUUAUCAUUGGUGUUUCCUGGUUCAGAGCACCUCCAUGACGGCACCCAACAGUCUCGGAGCCAAGGUGAUAAGAGCAGGGAUGGACUCAUUAGCAUCAGCCAUGUGAAGAUGAUUGGAAAGUCUACUGGAGUAAUCCUUCUUCAUGGUAUACGUUGCCCUGACUUCCAGCUCCUCAUGUGAGGAGGAGGAGGGCAGACAGGGGAUGUGCCGCUGUAGGAGGUGGUGCAGGGCCGGGGGACCUCAUACUCGGCUCCCUCAUCCCCUGCGCGCCUCUUCUACUUCCUCCAGCUCUACAUCAAGCGCAACCGCCUGCCCCCAGGGUCCCCCAUGGCCGCAGCCGCUCCCUCUCGCGGGCCUCUCCCCGCGCGCGCUCCUGCCCCUCUCCGCCCGCGACGCCGUCGUCCGCGCCUGCGACGAGGACUCCCUCUACUACGCCGGCCUCCGCCGCUGCGCCGAUGACCCCUACCACCCUGCCUCCAACCCCGCCGGCGUCAUCCCGCUAGGCCUCACCGAGAACACCUAUCCCUGGAUUUGGUGAGGGAAUGGAUGGAGGAGCACCAGGAGAGGGACCUCACCAUCAGCGGCUCACCACGUACCAGCCAUAUGACAGGAUACUUGCCUCGAAGAUGUCACUAUGGCUGAGCAGGCAUCAAGUCAAGCAAAGGGGAUUUUAUGGUUGCAGCCGAGACCAGUGCUUAGAAGAAAUUGACAGGACAGAUGAAGUAUCCAUAUACGAGAUAAAACCAGUGACAAUCCAUCUAAUACCAUGGGUCCACAUGAUGAGAAGGAUAUUUGCAUACCAGGGAAAGCAUCACAUAAGAGGUCAUUUUUCUCAGUUUCAUAGGGGACGAAAGUUACUCUGUCUGCACCAUGUCAGGAGGGUGCUUUUGGAUGUCGACUUCAUUUAUUUCAUAUGUAAGAGAUGUGUAGCAGAGACGUUCAAGCGGAAAAUGGCAAUUACUAACUACUAAGUAAACAAUCCAAAUGAUGUGCAUCAUGUAAUGAAGGUAAAGCUCUCUAUUUCCCAGAUUAGGGAACAGGGGAACUUAAGCUUAAGUUAGUUUUGCUCAUCACCUGAUCCUGCCACCGCGGCCCAUGGAGGCACUGUUGCAGGGGCCACAGCUGCCACCAUUCCUGUCCAAGACGUACGAUCUCGAAGGCGAGCCGCAGCUGGACGGGGUCAUCUCCUGGGGUCCUUCGUUGUGUGGAAUUCUUCCACCUUCGACCGGGACGUGCUCCCGCACAACUUCAAGCACAAGAACUUCUCCAGCUUCGUCAGCCAGCUCAACACCUACCGGAAUCGUGGUCUGUAAUGCCAAUUUGGCCUUUCCCGAAAGAACUGGUUUAUCUUCAUCACUGAAAUAAUCCUGAUUCCUAAGGAGUUGAUCCUGUGAUGGCAAGCUUAACCAUUUUCUGGGAUGCGACGCUGCUCUCGCUCAAAUGUGAAUGAUUAUCUUUUGAGAUAUAUAGGAUUGCUCUAAGAUGCUUUAUGGGCCCCGAGUGCCGGAAAGAUGUGUAGUUUAUAGAUUGGAGAGAUUCUUUUCAAACUCAACCUGUGUCAUGAGCUACUUGGUUACUUCUCAUUACUUGGAGGAUGCAUGGAUUGGAGAGAUUAUGGAUGAGGACUGAAUUAUGUGUAGCUAUGAUAUCUUUUAAUUUUGGUCAUAUGUAUCUUACAAGGAUUCCAGUAUAUAUUUUGGUCACCUGUAUCAGAAUAAGGAUGCACAUUUAAUUAUUACAACCUCCAAGCCCAUCAUUUGGAAUUUUAUGCAGUUUCUUCUGAUGCAAAUAUUUAGUUCAUUGUGUAAUUCUAUUAGAUCAUCAUGGAUGAGGCCUGAAUAAUGUAUAGACAUGAUGGAUGCUCUUAUUCCUUAUGACUCAUCAUCAAAACUGACUAUGGUGUGGACUGUGGAUAACACUUUUAUCAUGGGCCACUUACUGGUUUCUA
RNA transcript from Triticum dicoccoides, 2515 nucleotides. RefSeq lists it as uncharacterized. The transcript is spliced from 13 exons. NCBI's taxonomy places the organism in Eukaryota, Viridiplantae, Streptophyta, Magnoliopsida, Poales, Poaceae. The record is from RefSeq and is a predicted model, not a curated record.